AGAGUUUGAUCCUGGCUCAGGAUGAACGCUGGCGGCGUGCUUAACACAUGCAAGUCGAGCGAAGCGUAUUAGCGGAAGUUUUCGGAUGGAAGCGGAUAUGACUUAGCGGCGGACGGGUGAGUAACGCGUGGAUAACCUGCCUCAUACAGGGGGAUAACAGUUAGAAAUGACUGCUAAUACCGCAUAAGCGCACAGGACCGCAUGGUCCGGUGUGAAAAACUCCGGUGGUAUGGGAUGGAUCCGCGUCUGAUUAGCUGGUUGGUGAGGUAACGGCCCACCAAGGCGACGAUCAGUAGCCGACCUGAGAGGGUGGCCGGCCACAUUGGGACUGAGACACGGCCCAAACUCCUACGGGAGGCAGCAGUGGGGAAUAUUGCACAAUGGGGGAAACCCUGAUGCAGCAACGCCGCGUGAGUGAAGAAGUAUUUCGGUAUGUAAAGCUCUAUCAGCAGGGAAGAAGAAAGACGGUACCUGACUAAGAAGCCCCGGCUAACUACGUGCCAGCAGCCGCGGUAAUACGUAGGGGGCAAGCGUUAUCCGGAUUUACUGGGUGUAAAGGGAGCGUAGACGGCUGUGCAAGUCUGAAGUGAAAGCCCGUGGCUCAGCCGCGGAACUGCUUUGGAAACUGUAUAGCUUGAGUACUGGAGAGGCAGGCGGAAUUCCUAGUGUAGCGGUGAAAUGCGUAGAUAUUAGGAGGAACACCAGUGGCGAAGGCGGCCUGCUGGACAGAAACUGACGUUGAGGCUCGAAAGCGUGGGGAGCAAACAGGAUUAGAUACCCUGGUAGUCCACGCGGUAAACGAUGAAUGC
RNAcentral lists this ribosomal RNA (809 nucleotides) under uncultured bacterium. RNAcentral's name for it is "bacterial SSU rRNA". It matches the Rfam family "Bacterial small subunit ribosomal RNA", at positions 8 to 816 of the family's 1533-position model. The record is from RNAcentral.